Molecule: ribosomal RNA, 502 nt
Filed under: uncultured bacterium
Lineage: Bacteria
Description: bacterial SSU rRNA
Rfam family: Bacterial small subunit ribosomal RNA
Source: RNAcentral
GAGUUUGAUCGUGGCUCAGAUUGAACGCUGGCGGCAGGCCUAACACAUGCAAGUCGAGCGGUAGAGAGAAGCUUGCUUCUCUUGAGAGCGGCGGACGGGUGAGUAAUGCCUAGGAAUCUGCCUGGUAGUGGGGGAUAACGCUCGGAAACGGACGCUAAUACCGCAUACGUCCUACGGGAGAAAGCAGGGGACCUUCGGGCCUUGCGCUAUCAGAUGAGCCUAGGUCGGAUUAGCUAGUUGGUGAGGUAAUGGCUCACCAAGGCGACGAUCCGUAACUGGUCUGAGAGGAUGAUCAGUCACACUGGAACUGAGACACGGUCCAGACUCCUACGGGAGGCAGCAGUGGGGAAUAUUGGACAAUGGGCGAAAGCCUGAUCCAGCCAUGCCGCGUGUGUGAAGAAGGUCUUCGGAUUGUAAAGGCACUUUAAGUUGGGAGGAAGGGCAGUAAAUUAAUACUUUGCUGUUUUGACGUUACCGACAGAAUAAGCACCGGCUAACUACU